This 232-nucleotide unclassified non-coding RNA is filed under the name Hevea brasiliensis (rubber tree). Lineage: Eukaryota; Viridiplantae; Streptophyta; Magnoliopsida; Malpighiales; Euphorbiaceae. The record is from RNAcentral.
UGUUGAGACGUGUGUGUGUGUGUGUAUAUUUUCCUUCUUCUUUUGAAAUUGAGAGCACUUUGUUCCUUAUGAUGACUUGAUGCCCCUGCACCGGGGACCUUGGUGUUGCUUUAGUGUGCAAGCUCGAUGGUGGUAUUAUUAUUAAUAUUAUUAUAAUUACAUUUGAGUUUUGCUUAUAAUAUUAAUAAUAAUACCACCAUCGGGCUUGCACACUGAAGCAACACCAAGGUCC